This 468-nucleotide ribosomal RNA is filed under the name uncultured bacterium. Its description in RNAcentral is "partial 16S ribosomal RNA". It matches the Rfam family "Bacterial small subunit ribosomal RNA", at positions 28 to 507 of the family's 1533-position model. The record is from RNAcentral.
GACGAACGCUGGCGGCGUGCUUAACACAUGCAAGUCGAACGGAAAGGCCCUGCUUUUGUGGGGUGCUCGAGUGGCGAACGGGUGAGUAACACGUGAGUAACCUGCCCUUGACUUUGGGAUAACUUCAGGAAACUGGGGCUAAUACCGGAUAGGAGCUCCUGCUGCAUGGUGGGGGUUGGAAAGUUUCGGCGGUUGGGUAUGGACUCGCGGCUUAUCAGCUUGUUGGUGGGGUAGUGGCUUACCAAGGCUUUGACGGGUAGCCGGCCUGAGAGGGUGACCGGCCACAUUGGGACUGAGAUACGGCCCAGACUCCUACGGGAGGCAGCAGUGGGGAAUAUUGCACAAUGGGCGGAAGCCUGAUGCAGCAACGCCGCGUGCGGGAUGACGGCCUUCGGGUUGUAAACCGCUUUCGCCUGUGACGAAGCGUGAGUGACGGUAAUGGGUGAAGAAGCACCGGCUAACUACGUG